RNAcentral lists this ribosomal RNA (425 nucleotides) under uncultured bacterium. RNAcentral describes it as "partial 16S ribosomal RNA". It matches the Rfam family "Bacterial small subunit ribosomal RNA", at positions 354 to 796 of the family's 1533-position model. The record is from RNAcentral.
GUUAGGAAUAUUGGACAAUGGGCGCAAGCCUGAUCCAGCCAUGCCGCGUGAACGAUGAAGGCCUUCGGGUUGUAAAGUUCUUUAGCCGAUGAUUAUAAUGACUGUAGUCGGAAAAUAAGCCCCGGCUAACUUCGUGCCAGCAGCCGCGGUAAUACGAAGGGGGCGAGCGUUAUUCGGAAUCACUGGGCGUAAAGCGUGCGUAGGCGGUAUCGUAAGUUAGGAGUGAAAGCCCAGGGCUCAACCUGGGAAUUGCUCUUAAUACUGCAAGGCUAGAAUCUCGGAGAGGAUAGCGGAAUUUCCAGUGUAGCAGUGAAAUGCGUAGAUAUUGGAAGGAACACCAGUGGCGUAAGCGGCUAUCUGGACGAGUAUUAACGCUGAGGCACGAAAGCGUGGGGAUCAAACAGGAUUAGAUACCCUAGUAGUCC